Molecule: ribosomal RNA, 320 nt
Filed under: uncultured Bacteroidales bacterium
Lineage: Bacteria; Pseudomonadati; Bacteroidota; Bacteroidia; Bacteroidales
Description: partial 16S ribosomal RNA
Source: RNAcentral
GGAGUUUGGGCCGUGUCUCAGUCCCAAUGUGGCCGUCCGCCCUCUCAGGCCGGCUACUGAUCGUCGCUUUGGUGGGCCGUUACCCCGCCUACUAUCUAAUCAGACGCAUCCUCAUCCAUCGCCGAUAAAUCUUUACUGUGUUCGAGAUGUCUCAAUCACAGACCAUCAGGUAUUAAUCUUUCUUUCGAAAGGCUAUCCCUGAGCCAUGGGUAGAUUGGAUACGUGUUACGCACCCGUGCGCCGGUCGCCAUCUAUCAAAGCAAGCUUCGAUAAUGCUGCCCCUCGACUUGCAUGUGUUAAGCCUGUAGCUAGCGUUCAUC